Molecule: unclassified non-coding RNA, 239 nt
Filed under: uncultured fungus
Lineage: Eukaryota; Fungi
Description: sequence contains ITS1
Source: RNAcentral
GUAUUGUAUUGCGUUAAACGCGGCAAACAUUCCAUGAGACUUUAUGGCAGUGUGUGUGUGUGUAAAUACGUAGAACCACAGCAAGGGGGGACAAACCCACCCAGGCCAUAGAGCUACGGAGGGUGCACAGGUGUGGGUGGAUGUGUAAACAGAGCGUGCACAUGCCCCUGGUUUGGGGACCAGCAACAACUCGUGUUGACAGUUCGGUAAUGAUCCUUCCGCAGGUUCACCUACGGAAA